This 253-nucleotide ribosomal RNA is filed under the name uncultured bacterium. RNAcentral's name for it is "partial 16S ribosomal RNA". It matches the Rfam family "Bacterial small subunit ribosomal RNA", at positions 524 to 776 of the family's 1533-position model. The record is from RNAcentral.
UACAGAGGUCUCAAGCGUUGUUCGGAUUCACUGGGCGUAAAGGGUGCGUAGGUGGCCAGGUAAGUUCGGUGUGAAAGCUCGGAGCUUAACUCCGAAAUGUCAUUGAAUACUAUCUGGCUGGAGGGUCGGAGGGGAGACUGGAAUUCUCGGUGUAGCAGUGAAAUGCGUAGAUAUCGAGAGGAACACCAGUGGCGAAGGCGAGUCUCUGGACGACUCCUGACACUGAGGCACGAAAGCCAGGGGAGCAAACAGG